CAGCAGCCGCGGUAAAACGAAGGGGGCUAGCGUUGUUCGGAUUUACUGGGCGUAAAGGGCGCGUAGGCGGACUGAUAAGUCAGGGGUGAAAUCCCAAGGCUCAACCUUGGAACUGCCUUUGAUACUGUUUGUCUUGAGUUCGAGAGAGGUAAGUGGAACUGCGAGUGUAGAGGUGAAAUUCGUAGAUAUUCGCAAGAACACCAGUGGCGAAGGCGGCUUACUGGCUCGAAACUGACGCUGAGGCGCGAAAGCGUGGGGAGCAAACAGGAUUAGAUACCCCCGUAGUCCCUGUCUCUUAUAC
This 301-nucleotide ribosomal RNA is filed under the name uncultured bacterium. RNAcentral's name for it is "partial 16S ribosomal RNA". It matches the Rfam family "Bacterial small subunit ribosomal RNA", at positions 509 to 807 of the family's 1533-position model. The record is from RNAcentral.